RNAcentral lists this ribosomal RNA (422 nucleotides) under uncultured bacterium. Its description in RNAcentral is "bacterial SSU rRNA". It matches the Rfam family "Bacterial small subunit ribosomal RNA", at positions 362 to 775 of the family's 1533-position model. The record is from RNAcentral.
UCUUCCGCAAUGGACUACAGUCUGACGGAGCAACGCCGCGUGAGUGAUGAAGGUUUUCGGAUCGUAAAACUCUGUUGUUAGGGAAGAACAAGUACCGCUCGAAUAGGGCGGUACCUUGACGGUACCUAACCAGAAAGCCACGGCUAAUUACGUGCUAGCAGCCGCGGUAAUACGUAGGUGGCAAACGUUGUCCGGAAUUAUUGGGCGUAAAGCGCGCGCAGGCGGUUUCUUAAGUAUGAUGUGAAAGCCCCCGGCUCAACCGGGGAGGGUCAUUGGAAACUGGGGAACUUGAGUGGAGAAGAGGAGAGUGGAAUUCCACGUGUAGCGGUGAAAUGCGUAGAGAUGUGGAGGAACACCAGUGGCGAAGGCGACUCUCUGGUCUGUAACUGACGCUGAGGCGCGAAAGCGUGGGGAGCGAACAG